This 235-nucleotide ribosomal RNA is filed under the name uncultured bacterium. RNAcentral's name for it is "partial 16S ribosomal RNA". It matches the Rfam family "Bacterial small subunit ribosomal RNA", at positions 99 to 334 of the family's 1533-position model. The record is from RNAcentral.
CGCACGGGUGAGUAACACGUAUCCAACCUGCCGUCUACUCUUGGACAGCCUUCUGAAAGGAAGAUUAAUACAAGAUGGCAUCAUGAGUUCACAUGUUCACAUGAUUAAAGGUAUUCCGGUAGACGAUGGGGAUGCGUUCCAUUAGAUAGUUGGCGGGGUAACGGCCCACCUAGUCUUCGAUGGAUAGGGGUUCUGAGAGGAAGGUCCCCCACAUUGGAACUGAGACACGGUCCAA